AUUGAACGCUGGCGGAAUGCUUUACACAUGCAAGUCGAACGGCAGCACGGGGGCAACCCUGGUGGCGAGUGGCGAGCGGGUGAGUAAUACAUCGGAACGUGCCCAGUCGUGGGGGAUAACUACGCGAAAGCGUAGCUAAUACCGCAUACGAACUCUGGUUGAAAGCGGGGGACUCGCAAGAGCCUCGCGCGAUUGGAGCGGCCGAUGGCAGAUUAGGUAGUUGGCGGGGUAAAGGCUCACCAAGCCGACGAUCUGUAGCUGGUCUGAGAGGACGACCAGCCACACUGGGACUGAGACACGGCCCAGACUCCUACGGGAGGCAGCAGUGGGGAAUUUUUGGGACAAUGGACGCAAGUCUGAUCCAGCCAUUCCGCGUGCAGGAUGAAGGCCCUCGGGUUGUAAACUGCUUUUGUACGGACGAAAAGGUGCUUUCUAAUACAGAGCGCUCAUGACGGUACCGUAAGAAUAAAGCACCGGGCU
This 480-nucleotide ribosomal RNA is filed under the name uncultured bacterium. RNAcentral describes it as "bacterial SSU rRNA". It matches the Rfam family "Bacterial small subunit ribosomal RNA", at positions 30 to 499 of the family's 1533-position model. The record is from RNAcentral.